RNAcentral lists this transfer RNA (76 nucleotides) under Bacillota bacterium. RNAcentral's name for it is "Firmicutes bacterium (anaerobic digester metagenome) tRNA-Ile". It matches the Rfam family "tRNA". Rfam says of the family: Transfer RNA (tRNA) molecules are approximately 80 nucleotides in length. Their secondary structure includes four short double-helical elements and three loops (D, anti-codon, and T loops). The record is from RNAcentral. Lineage: Bacteria; Bacillati; Bacillota.
GGGCCCAUAGCUCAGUUGGAAGAGCAUCCGGCUCAUAACCGGUCGGUCCCAGGUUCGAGCCCUGGUGGGCCCACCA